UGCCAGCAGCCGCGGUAAUACGGAGGGGGCUAGCGUUGUUCGGAAUUACUGGGCGUAAAGGGCGUGUAGGCGGUCUAUCGAGUCAGGCGUGAAAGCCCCGGGGCUCAACCCCGGAACUGCAAUCGAAUCUGCCUCGCUAGAGUCCCGGAGAGGAAGGCGGAAUUCCCGGUGUAGAGGUGAAAUUCGUAGAUAUCGGGAGGAACACCAGUGGCGAAGGCGGCCUUCUGGACGGUGACUGACGCUGAGACGCGAAAGCGUGGGGAGCAAACAGGAUUAGAUA
RNAcentral lists this ribosomal RNA (280 nucleotides) under uncultured bacterium. RNAcentral describes it as "partial 16S ribosomal RNA". It matches the Rfam family "Bacterial small subunit ribosomal RNA", at positions 506 to 784 of the family's 1533-position model. The record is from RNAcentral.